AGAGUUUGAUCAUGGCUCAGAUUGAACGCUGGCGGCAUGCCUUACACAUGCAAGUCGAACGCGAAAGGGGGCAACCCCGAGUAGAGUGGCGAACGGGUGAGCAAUACAUCGGAACGUGUCCUGUAGCGGGGGACAACCUCGAGAAAUCGAGGCUAAUACCGCAUACGAUCUACGGAUGAAAGUGGGGGGCCGCAAGGCCCCACACUAUAGGAGCGGCCGAUGCCGGAUUAGCUAGUUGGUGGGGUAAUGGCCUACCAAGGCGACGAUCCGUAGCUGGUUUGAGAGAACGACCAGCCACACUGGGACUGAGACACGGCCCAGACUCCUACGGGAGGCAGCAGUGGGGAAUUUUGGACAAUGGGCGAAAGCCUGAUCCAGCCAUGCCGCGUGAGUGAAGAAGGCCUUCGGGUUGUAAAGCUCUUUCGGCGGGGACGAAAUUGCGCGGGGUAACAUCCCGCGUAGAUGACGGUACCCGAAGAAGAAGGACCGGCUAACUACGUGCCAGCAGCCGCGGUAAUACGUAGGGUCCAAGCGUUAAUCGGAAUUACUGGGCGUAAAGCGUGUGCAGGCGGUUUCGAAAGUCCGAUGUGAAAUCCCCGAGCUUAACUUGGGAACUGCGUUGGAAACUACGAGGCUAGAGUGCGGCAGAGGGGGGUGGAAUUCCAGGUGUAGCAGUGAAAUGCGUAGAGAUCUGGAGGAACACCGAUGGCGAAGGCAGCCCCCUGGGUUAGCACUGACGCUGAGACACGAAAGCGUGGGGAGCAAACAGGAUUAGAUACCCCGGUAGUCC
RNAcentral lists this ribosomal RNA (790 nucleotides) under uncultured bacterium. RNAcentral's name for it is "bacterial SSU rRNA". It matches the Rfam family "Bacterial small subunit ribosomal RNA", at positions 8 to 796 of the family's 1533-position model. The record is from RNAcentral.